CAGUCGCCGCGGUAAUACGUAGGUGGCAAGCGUUGUCCGGAAUUAUUGGGCGUAAAGGGCUCGCAGGCGGUUUCUUAAGUCUGAUGUGAAAGCCCCCGGCUCAACCGGGGAGGGUCAUUGGAAACUGGGAAACUUGAGUGCAGAAGAGGAGAGUGGAAUUCCACGUGUAGCGGUGGAAUGCGUAGAGAUGUGGAGGAACACCAGUGGCGAAGGCGACUCUCUGGUCUGUAACUGACGCUGAGGAGCGAAAGCGUGGGGAGCGAACAGGAUUAGAGACCCCAGUAGUCCCUGUCUCUUAUAC
RNAcentral lists this ribosomal RNA (301 nucleotides) under uncultured bacterium. RNAcentral describes it as "partial 16S ribosomal RNA". It matches the Rfam family "Bacterial small subunit ribosomal RNA", at positions 509 to 807 of the family's 1533-position model. The record is from RNAcentral.